Long non-coding RNA from Oxyura jamaicensis (ruddy duck), 606 nucleotides. RefSeq lists it as uncharacterized. NCBI's taxonomy places the organism in Eukaryota, Metazoa, Chordata, Aves, Anseriformes, Anatidae. The transcript has 2 exons. The record is from RefSeq and is a predicted model, not a curated record.
UGCUGCGUGGGUAAAAUAAAAAGGAAGGCACCGCUGUUCGAUGGUCAAAAGGCCGGGCCCUGUGAUCUGACAUUCAGGGGAGGAUAAUAAGAGCACCCGGCACGGAGGAGAGGGGGAAUUCGCUCCUUAGCUUGGUACUGUAUGCAGGGAAAAGCUAGGGUGUCUGCCUUCCUCCUCCUCCUCCUCCUGAGAGAAGGCUCCGUGCUCCCAGGCCGCUAUCUUGGCAUCCGCCCUGCGCUCAGCUCAAAUGCCCCCCCCCCCCCCCGAUUUGUUCCGGUGUAAACAUGUCGGAGGAACUGCUUCGUUGCGUCUUCCCAACCGCCCCGGAACGGUCCGGGCAGCGGAGCGGCAGCGACCUAACAAAGAAGUUGUGGCCUUAAAAGCAGAGCAGAAUUCACUCCGGAUCCACGCGUCCUGUGAUCUGCUCAAGUGUGGGAUUUUCCACCCUGUCUGAUCCCUGCGGUCGGCACAUGUGAUUUACAUUUCUAAAAUAAACGCUACUGCACGUAUACAUUUAAAAAUAUUUCCCUUUGAAAGUAAAUGAUUGUGGGAUUAGAAGCUCCCAGUGAAUAAAAGCAGAAUGUAACCUCUCCUCCCCUCCGUUAA